GUAGGGGGCAAGCGUUAUCCGGAUUUACUGGGUGUAAAGGGAGCGUANACGGUGUGGCAAGUCUGAUGUGAAAGGCAUGGGCUCAACCUGUGGACUGCAUUGGAAACUGUCAUACUUGAGUGCCGGAGGGGUAAGCGGAAUUCCUAGUGUAGCGGUGAAAUGCGUAGAGAUUAGGAAGAACACCAGUGGCGAAGGCGACUCUCUGGACUGUAACUGACGCUGAGGCUCGAAAGCGUGGGGAGCAAACAGGAUUAGAUACCCUGGUAGUCCACGCUGUAAACGAUGAAUACUAGGUGUGCGGGGACUGACCCCCUGCGUGCCGCAGUUAACACAAUAAGUAUUCCACCUGGGGAGU
This 355-nucleotide ribosomal RNA is filed under the name uncultured bacterium. Its description in RNAcentral is "bacterial SSU rRNA". It matches the Rfam family "Bacterial small subunit ribosomal RNA", at positions 527 to 881 of the family's 1533-position model. The record is from RNAcentral.